UCCGUAGGUGAACCUGCGGAGGGAUCAUUACUGAGUGAGGGCCUUCGGGCUCGACCUCCAACCCUUUCGUGAACACAACUUGUUGCUUCGGGGGCGACUCUGCCGUUUCNACGGCGAGCGCCCCCGGAGGCCUUCAAACACUGCAUCUUUGCGUCGGAGUUUAAGUAAAUUAAACAAAACUUUCAACAACGGAUCUCUUGGUUCUGGCAUCGAUGAAGAACGCAGCGAAAUGCGAUAAGUAAUGUGAAUUGCAGAAUUCAGUGAAUCAUCGAAUCUUUGAACGCACAUUGCGCCCUCUGGUAUUCCGGAGGGCAUGCCUGUUCGAGCGUCAUUUCACCACUCAAGCCUGGCUUGGUAUUGGGCGCCGCGGUGUUCCGCGCGCCUCAAAGUCUCCGGCUGAGCUGUCCGUCUCCAAGCGUUGUGAUUUCAUUAAUCGCUUCGGAGUGCGGGUGGCCGCGGCCGUUAAAUCUUUCACAAGGUUGACCUCGGAUCAGGUAGGGAUACCCGCUGAACUUAAGCAUAUCAAUAAGCGGAGGA
This 537-nucleotide ribosomal RNA is filed under the name uncultured fungus. Its description in RNAcentral is "eukaryotic LSU rRNA". The stretch from base 178 to 331 matches the Rfam family "5.8S ribosomal RNA". Lineage: Eukaryota; Fungi. The record is from RNAcentral.